RNAcentral lists this ribosomal RNA (255 nucleotides) under uncultured bacterium. Its description in RNAcentral is "partial 16S ribosomal RNA". It matches the Rfam family "Bacterial small subunit ribosomal RNA", at positions 524 to 777 of the family's 1533-position model. The record is from RNAcentral.
UACGGAGGGUGCAAGCGUUAUCCGGAUUUACUGGGUUUAAAGGGUGUGUAGGCGGAUUUUUAAGUCAGAGGUGAAAUCUCCAGGCUCAACCUGGAAACUGCCCCUGAUACUAUUAGUCUUGAAUAUUGAUGAGGUGGGCGGAACGGGUCAUGUAGCGGUGAAAUGCUUAGAGAUGACCCGGAACACCAAUUGCGAAGGCAGCUCACUGGGCAAUUAUUGACGCUGAGGCACGGAAAGCGUGGGGAGCAAACAGGG